Molecule: ribosomal RNA, 401 nt
Rfam family: Bacterial small subunit ribosomal RNA
UGGGGGAUAUUGCACAAUGGAGGAAACUCUGAUGCAGCGACGCCGCGUGAGGGAAGACGGUUUUCGGAUUGUAAACCUCUGUCUCCGGGGACGAUAAUGACGGUACCCGGGGAGGAAGCCACGGCUAACUACGUGCCAGCAGCCGCGGUAAUACGUAGGUGGCAAGCGUUGUCCGGAAUUACUGGGUGUAAAGGGAGCGCAGGCGGGAUCGUAAGUCAAGUGUUAAAAUGCUCAGCUCAACUGAGUAGUGCGCUUGAAACUAUGAUUCUUGAGUGAAGUAGAGGUAGGCGGAAUUCCUAGUGUAGCGGUGAAAUGCGUAGAUAUUAGGAGGAACACCAGUGGCGAAGGCGGCCUACUGGGCUUUAACUGACGCUGAGGCUCGAAAGUGUGGGGAGCAAACA